Molecule: non-coding RNA, 31 nt
Filed under: Mus musculus (house mouse)
Lineage: Eukaryota; Metazoa; Chordata; Mammalia; Rodentia; Muridae
Source: RNAcentral
CCCAAUGCCUUUCCUGUACCACAGUAGACUC